This 507-nucleotide ribosomal RNA is filed under the name uncultured bacterium. RNAcentral's name for it is "partial 16S ribosomal RNA". It matches the Rfam family "Bacterial small subunit ribosomal RNA", at positions 28 to 507 of the family's 1533-position model. The record is from RNAcentral.
GACGAACGCUGGCGGCGUGCCUAAUACAUGCAAGUCGAACGCAUUUUCUUUCACCGUAGCUUGCUACACCGAAAGAAAAUGAGUGGCGAACGGGUGAGUAACACGUGGGUAACCUGCCCAUCAGCGGGGGAUAACACUUGGAAACAGGUGCUAAUACCGCAUAAUUCCAUUUACUGCAUGGUAGAUGGAUGAAAGGCGCUUUUGCGUCACUGAUGGAUGGACCCGCGGUGCAUUAGCUAGUUGGUGGGGUAACGGCCUACCAAGGCUGCGAUGCAUAGCCGACCUGAGAGGGUGAUCGGCCACACUGGGACUGAGACACGGCCCAGACUCCUACGGGAGGCAGCAGUAGGGAAUCUUCGGCAAGAGACGCAAGUCUGACCGAGCAACGCCGCGUGAGUGAAGAAGGUUUUCGGAUCGUAAAACUCUGUUGUUAGAAAAGAACAAGGAUGAGAGUGGAAAGUUCAUCCCUUGACGGUAUCUAACCAGAAAGCCACGGCUAACUACGUG